RNAcentral lists this transfer RNA (73 nucleotides) under archaeon. RNAcentral describes it as "tRNA-Ala". It matches the Rfam family "tRNA". Rfam says of the family: Transfer RNA (tRNA) molecules are approximately 80 nucleotides in length. Their secondary structure includes four short double-helical elements and three loops (D, anti-codon, and T loops). The record is from RNAcentral.
GGGGCUGAAGCUUUAAUGGGAAAGCGUCUGAUUUGCACUCAGAAGGUUGCGAGUUCGAUCCUCGUCAGCUCCA